CGUUCUCGUAUACGGUAGAAGCUUGUAGAACCUGCCAGCUAUCCCUUCUCGAUAGAGCAAUCGCGCACGUUCGCAACUUAUAAAUACCUUGUCAUCACAUAUGUCCUUCUCCUUUUGUUUUCAGUACGCACCGGCCCACACUCCAUCCUCACCACGAGCAAGUAUUAAAUCAGCCCACCAGUAGUUGUCCCGCCUUUUCUCAAAAAAUAUUAAACCAGCCCACCAGUACUCGUCCGGCCUUUAUUAGAUGCCCCCAAGCCGACGCUAGUACUUUCCUUGUUCUCCAAGGAUUGUAACAUGCAUGAUCCUUCAUUGAGGUUAGUCAAAACUCUAUAGUAAUGAGUGCGUUGUUGUUUCAAUGGUUAUGCACGAGAUUAGCUUAACGUUAUUUGGCUGAUUUGUUUUGCGACAAUACGGAGUCUGGUACGUACUUGCAUCAUUAUGCCCAUUACUUCGACGGGGCUGGAUUAACAACACAGGUUAAAAAGGGCGAUGUGGCGCGUCGGAGAAAAGAAUUGCUGCACGGCAUCGUGGGUUUGGAGAAGAACAAUGGUGUGAAACCAUCGUUCUGGAGUGGACACAAGGUGUGAAGAUCUGGAUUCAGAGGAAGGUUGUAAUGCCUAAAUUAAGGAAUGGAGAUUGUGGAGAGUCUCCUUAGUACCAAUAUGACCUGACGUGUUAGAGACAAAUAAUCUUUUGUAUUUUGAAA
Brachypodium distachyon (stiff brome) is the source of this 709-nucleotide long non-coding RNA. RefSeq lists it as uncharacterized. NCBI's taxonomy places the organism in Eukaryota, Viridiplantae, Streptophyta, Magnoliopsida, Poales, Poaceae. The transcript is spliced from 2 exons. The record is from RefSeq and is a predicted model, not a curated record.